RNAcentral lists this microRNA (21 nucleotides) under Cervus elaphus (red deer). RNAcentral's name for it is "PC-5p-131907". Lineage: Eukaryota; Metazoa; Chordata; Mammalia; Artiodactyla; Cervidae. The record is from RNAcentral.
CAAAGGUUCAUUCGGGUUUUU